UUUCUGUAUUUUAAUAAUGAAAUUAUUAUGUGAGUCUUCACUUUAGAAAC
RNAcentral lists this transfer RNA (50 nucleotides) under Pseudogarypus banksi. Its description in RNAcentral is "tRNA-Phe". The record is from RNAcentral. Lineage: Eukaryota; Metazoa; Arthropoda; Arachnida; Pseudoscorpiones; Pseudogarypidae.